RNAcentral lists this long non-coding RNA (3289 nucleotides) under Triticum aestivum (bread wheat). RNAcentral's name for it is "long non-coding RNA (TAES_LNC008849)". Lineage: Eukaryota; Viridiplantae; Streptophyta; Magnoliopsida; Poales; Poaceae. The record is from RNAcentral.
CUCUCUAUUAUCACGCAUGAUUCUAUUUUGCACCUGAUAAAAAUAGACUACUUUCUGAGGCUUCAUAGACGAAUGCUAACAGAAAUAGAUAAUUUGAGAAUCACAUUUGUGCAAAAUUGAAAAUGACUAAGAAAAGAAUAUCUGAAUAUUCUAAAUUAGUGUAUUGCUAAAGGAAGUUUUCUCACAUAAAUAAAAAGGUCCAGAGGGACAAAAACACAAUCAUGUUGUGUGUGUUUAUUGAUUCACAUUAUUCCUUCGUAAUUAGUUGCCACCAAUAAGAUGCUAAAUUACACACCCACAACCAACCCAUGUUUCGGCCGCCAUCAGAUCAAGCAACCUCUAACAAAGACUGUACGCAAGCAACACCAUGACGGGAAUCAGUGUAAUGUAUUAUUAAGUGCAUCACUUAUUAACACAACUGAGAAGUGAUUAUAGAGGAUAAUGCACAUUUAUAUAACCAUAUAGGAAUUGCUAAAUAAUAAUCUACACCAACAAAUUGAGAGCUUCUGGUGAUUAGAUCAAAAGAAGAGGAUGACUGUAAAGUAUUAGGGCUAGGAUAUAGUGGCCGAGGGAACUCUUAAAUUAUUAGGAUGAAUGUCACAAAGUACCACCAUAUCCAUGAAAAAAUCUACCCGAAUACAACCAAGUAUUAUGAACACCAAAGGGAAUAUGAUAACCCAGAAAAGAAAAAUUCACACCCAAAGGCAACUGUUGUUUACUGAUAUUUCUUGAUGUUUGGCACAUCCAUUUCAGUUAUAUAUACCAUGUGGAUCAUUUUGAGGACAAUACAUUCAAAAAAUGAGGAGAAAUGGAAGACACAGAAUACUAAAAAAAUUUAACAAAUGACCAAUGUUUAGAUACUAACAAGAAUCACAAUUCAUUUUGGAGGUUACUUGAUUAUCAUGAACAUGUGGGAAGAAGGGUUAACCUCACCUACGACAUGGAGCUAGCAUAAAAAAUAGGAGCUCUUCCUGCCCAUCUAUGAGCAUGCCACCACUACUGCCACACAAUUAACAUUCCAGUAUUCUUGAGGUAUCUAUCUAUACCCGCAACAACAUAGGGUGUUUAUGCAACUUCAGUAAUAUCUAAAAGAAAGACCAUUGUGCCAAUUACAACAACAAAGGGGGGUGUUUUUAAUCAAAUAAAGAGUCACUUGUAUACUAUACCGAAGACAUCGAUAUGAACAAUUUCAGAAUUGAGCAAGUGCACCAAAGCCUAGUUAUCAAUAAAGUGUCACUUAUAACUAUCUAGUUGAAUUAGUCCUGUUACAUAACCAUAUAUCCUCCAAGUAGGAAAAGGCACCAACAAAAAGAGAGGGAUUAUCCAUAGCAAUCAAGGUGCAUAUUUUGGGGGGGGGGGUGCAUAUUGGUAUGUAACUAAGAAAUGGGAAAUCUGAAUAGACUUGAGGGCUUAGAAACAAAACUCAGACCAUUCUUGCAAGGAAGUAAUUAACAAAUCUGUGUCCAAGCUAAGGACAUGAAAAAAGAACAAAACAAAGGAUUUGUCUCUUUUUAAGGGUUGUUUUAUUAAAGGGGAGUUAGGACUCUUCACAUAUUAAUGGAUCACUAUAUGAUGACUUAAACCCGCUAAAGUUAGCUUGUACUAAAAUAAAUCUCUUUGCACCCUCAUAUAUUCUUCAUUGUACAAAAUCAGAAGUUGCUAGACUAACGAAAGGUGCAGAAUAAGGGGAAUGGAUCUGUGUGUGAGAGAGAGAGAGAGAGAGAUGACCUGGGACGCUAAAACAAAGCACAAGUACGUCGUGAGGACGACUGCUGGGGGUGGUUCCUUAAUUGGAGAACAGAAAAAUCAAGCUAUCAUCAACCAUUAUUUAAGGGCCUCCAAAUAAUUUGAAGAGAAAAAAAUACUAAUACGGAAGUAUUUAGUAUCUUGCAUUUGUAAGAACACUUAAGCAGACCCAUCCCACACUAUUAUGCUUGCGCAACCUGAACAUGUUUACUCCAGUAAACAGAUAGUACAGUCACCUCUAGGCUUUCAUUUUUUCAGUUUUAUACUGACUCUCCAAUGAUUAAUGGACCCUAAUAUGGCAUUCACCAGCUCUUGCACCCAUUGCGAUGUAAUAUAUUUUCUUUCCUAUUAAUUUGAAAGAGACCAAGUACAAGGUUGUGCACUAAAGUAACAAAGGUAAGAAUAGGCAGAAAAUAUACCGAAACAUGUCAGAGUAUAUAACCAAAUAGCAUAUUUCAUUUAAUCAGGAGGAUUGUCGAGAGAGGAACAGGGCAUCAGUCUUCGUCGUCUAGAUGUUUCUUUUGUUUGUAAUUACACAAAAAAUGGAGUUUCAUUUGUCUGUAAUUACUCAAAAAUGGAGUUUCAAUUUGCCCCACCUGAUGCUAAUAAAGGAACACAACUGAAAUCAUAUAACAAUGUUUGCUCAAUCUAGCAACAGAGCCAACGAAUGAGCCUCUAGCAGUUGAACUAAAAGUAUCACGAUAAAACAAUGAGAGCAUCACCAUUAGCAUCAUUAAUAGGAGAAGAAGGGAUCUCAAAGGGAGAAUGGGAGAGAGAUCAAAUGCUCACCUCUUCAACUAGUCGAGGAGGUUGGGGAGGUGUGGUGAUAGGAGGAGCAGUAGAUCGAGGGUGGCUGGCAACUUGAGGAGGAGAGCACAAGGCGGAGGAGCUGGGCGAGAAGGAGCAGCACUUUAAGAGGCAGCAACAACACAACAUAGAGGAGGAGCAACUACAGAUCGUGUCUAUUCCAAGCAGAGGAGCACCACCGGCCAUCAAUCAGCAACAAAGAACCUAGCAAAAAUUAACAAACCAUAACCACAUCCCUACGAACCUCUUCGGUGACAGCAAUUAAUGUGCACAUCGAACGUGUCAUAGCUCGCCGAUUCAGCUGCCAGAUGAUGAACAAAUCAGGAACAUGUACACAGCAGAUAGCUAGGAGGGGCAGGCGAGAGCAAGAGGAAGAGCACAUGAAGGACGACGACAAUGGCGACGUGGACGGCCAUCUCGGUGGCCGUCGCUACUCCCUGUUGCUCCUCCUGGUGAUGCUGGCGUGCGGCCGUCUCCUUUUGGCCCUGCGCCGAUGGUGACAGCGGCGACACGCAGGUCGUCGCACAGGUGGCCAAGGACGACCGUCUUGGCAGCACACGAUCCACAACACGACGUCCGGGUCCUCCCCGAUGUGGCCUGAGAGGACGCUCUCUUGCGUGGUGCGGCGGUCGCUUGUGCUGCCUCUGCCGAGGACCAUGGAGAGGAGAGGGGGAUAGGAGGGCGGGCUCGCCGUUGCACGAUGGUGCACGGCGCCUAGGGUGGAAGGGGAGGGGCG